GGACUGGAAGGAGGGUAGAGGACUGGAAGGAGGGUAGAGGACUGGAAGGAGGACUGAAAGGAGGGUAGAGGACUGGAAGGAGGGUAGAGGACUGGAAGGAGGGUAGAGGACUGGAAGGAAGGUAGAGGACUGGAAGGAGGGUAGAGGACUGAAAGGAGGGUAGAGGACUGGAAGGAGGGUAGAGGACUGGAAGGAAGGUAGAGGACUGGAAGGAGGGUAGAGGACUGGAAGGAGGGUAGAGGACUGGAAGGAAGGUAGAGGACUGGAAGGAGGACUGAAAGGUCCUGAUAACAAUCCUGACAACUCAAUGAACUAUUCCUGAAAUAUUCACUUACUAGAAACAAUGUGAAUAUCAAACUCACAAAAACGAUCAUUCAUAAUUACACACACUUCUUUUAAUAUGUACAUAAAAUGUGCUAAUUUUGACGGCAGCCAUUUUCUUUUUUAAAGAACCAGAUAGAUAAAGUUGUCAAGGUCACACCGCUUAAAUACAGUGGCUUGCAUGGUUGUAUGGCCAGAGAGGACAUCACCCCUCCAGCUGUAAAUAAAAUGAAACACACAAAAAAAAAAUGAACUUAAAAAGAAGCUUUUUAAAAAGAAAAACAGUGAGAGAGAGAGCAAUGUAGCGGGAGGACUGGGCUUCCCAGUUGAUCUAGCUAAUGUUAGUUAACUAGCUAGCUAGUUAGCUACAUUGUUGACACUGCAGCUAGCUUAGCCAGCGUAACUCAUGGCAACAUAAUAUGAUAGCUAAUUAGCUAUUGCCACACACAACUGAUUAAUCUGUUCACUCUUUAAGCCAAUGACAAGGUGGCUAGCUAGCCAACGAGCAGAGAUCAUACGGGGAGCUAAACACAGGAGAUGAAAAAAUUCUGUCAGAUUCUGGGUUAGCCAAAGCAAGCUAGCUAGCUAGUUAGCUUCCUAGCCAUUUCAUUUGCACUCACCCUCAAAACACAAUUUCAACAGCAGAAUGAAAGUAUCUCAGUAAAAUACUUGUCUUACUCCAGAAAUAUACACAACAUGCCCAAAAGUAUAUGGACACCUGCUCGUCGAACAUCUCAUUCCUAAAUCAUUGGCAUUAAUAUGGAGUUGGGGACUGAUGUUGGGCGAUUAGGCCUGGAUCGUAGUCAGCGUUCCAAUUCGUCCCAAAGGUGUUCGAUGGGGUUGAGGUCAGGGCUCUGUGCAGGCCAGUCAAGUUCUUCCACAUGGAUCUCGACAAACCAUUUCUGUAUGGGCCUCUCUUUCUCUCUCUCUCUCUCUCUCUCUCUCUCUCUCUCUC
RNAcentral lists this long non-coding RNA (1276 nucleotides) under Salmo salar (Atlantic salmon). Its description in RNAcentral is "lncRNA (ENSSSAG00000091576.1, ENSSSAG00000094503.1)". The record is from RNAcentral. Lineage: Eukaryota; Metazoa; Chordata; Actinopteri; Salmoniformes; Salmonidae.